This 611-nucleotide ribosomal RNA is filed under the name uncultured bacterium. RNAcentral's name for it is "bacterial SSU rRNA". It matches the Rfam family "Bacterial small subunit ribosomal RNA", at positions 338 to 944 of the family's 1533-position model. The record is from RNAcentral.
CCUACGGGAGGCAGCAGUGGGGAAUUUUGGACAAUGGGCGCAAGCCUGAUCCAGCAAUGCCGCGUGAGUGAAGAAGGCCUUCGGGUUGUAAAGCUCUUUUGUCAGGGAAGAAACGGUCUACUCUAAUACAGUGGGCUAAUGACGGUACCUGAAGAAUAAGCACCGGCUAACUACGUGCCAGCAGCCGCGGUAAUACGUAGGGUGCAAGCGUUAAUCGGAAUUACUGGGCGUAAAGCGUGCGCAGGCGGUUAUAUAAGUCAGAUGUGAAAUCCCCGGGCUCAACCUGGGAACUGCAUUUGAGACUGUAUGGCUAGAGUGUGUCAGAGGGGGGUAGAAUUCCACGUGUAGCAGUGAAAUGCGUAGAUAUGUGGAGGAAUACCGAUGGCGAAGGCAGCCCCCUGGGAUAACACUGACGCUCAUGCACGAAAGCGUGGGGAGCAAACAGGAUUAGAUACCCUGGUAGUCCACGCCCUAAACGAUGUCUACUAGUUGUCGGGACUUAAUUGUCUUGGUAACGCAGCUAACGCGUGAAGUAGACCGCCUGGGGAAGUCGGUGCAAGNUUAAACUUANAAGAUUGNGNNGNGNGNGCGAGCGACGACGAGGGAGGAGG